This 237-nucleotide unclassified non-coding RNA is filed under the name rhizosphere metagenome. RNAcentral describes it as "partial ribosomal RNA internal transcribed spacer region". The record is from RNAcentral.
GUAGGUGAACCUGCGGAAGGAUCAUUAACACGUAUCCACGUUCCACCCCCCUGCGCACAUCAGCACUGACGAGGAGGACGAGUCUCUGAGGCACCCUCCCCGAUCUUACUACAUAAAUUUGUAUUUUUACACCCCCAUGAACAUGCCACUCGUCUAACGUUUUAUGUUAUUUUCCCCCUGGGACUACAACAAAUACGAAACAACGAACAACUGUAAGCAAUGGAUAUCUUGGUUCUC